ACUCGUUAAACGCUUCAAUUUAGCAAAUAUGUACAUAUCUUCGGCAUAGUUAGCAAGUAACAAAACCAUUUAUAAGUUGUGGUAGAUUGUUAACUAAGUGGAUUCGCUUGUGAUAACUUAGAUUAAUCGAAUAUGAUAUCUCGGCUUGUAUAAUUUUAAUAUCACCUAUGCAAUAAAUCAGCUUUGCAAAUAUCACGCCGUCUUAUACAUAAGAACGUUCACCAGGAAUCCAAACUAGUCGUACGCUAAAAAUAAAUUUUUACGGGUAUUGGAGAUCUUUUGUUUACUAUAGUGCGUUAGUUUGUUCACUGCUUCUGGAUAAUAUAUAUAAUUUUCAAUGACUUAAAGACGAUGCAAUACCAAGUAUUACCAUUAUAAAGAAGAAAUUAAUAUUAAAUUUAAUCCUUAUUAACAGUGUGUCACUAUUUGAAUACUGUCCUUAGCUCCUCCAUCUUUCGUUGUAAACGCAUUCGAAAAGGCUUCUUUACAACUUAGACAAACAGUAGAUAGAAUCAGACCAUGCGUUAGUAUCAUUAGUAAUUGUAAUGG
Schizosaccharomyces pombe (fission yeast) is the source of this 549-nucleotide non-coding RNA. NCBI's taxonomy places the organism in Eukaryota, Fungi, Ascomycota, Schizosaccharomycetes, Schizosaccharomycetales, Schizosaccharomycetaceae. The record is from the annotation of a GenBank genome assembly.